RNAcentral lists this ribosomal RNA (441 nucleotides) under uncultured bacterium. RNAcentral's name for it is "partial 16S ribosomal RNA". It matches the Rfam family "Bacterial small subunit ribosomal RNA", at positions 338 to 795 of the family's 1533-position model. The record is from RNAcentral.
CCUACGGGAGGCAGCAGUGGGGGAUAUUGCACAAUGGGGGGAACCCUGAUGCAGCGACGCCGCGUGGGUGAAGGAGUGCUUCGGCAUGUAAAGCCCUAUCGGCAGGGAAGAAGCAAGACGGUACCUGACUAAGAAGCCCCAGCUAACUACGUGCCAGCAGCCGCGGUAAUACGUAGGGGGCGAGCGUUAUCCGGAUUCACUGGGUGUAAAGGGAGCGUAGACGGCGAUGCAAGCCAGGGGUGAAAGCCCGGGGCCCAACCCCGGGACUGCCCUUGGAACUGUGCGGCUAGAGUGCGGGAGGGGCAGGCGGAAUUCCUGGUGUAGCGGUGAAAUGCGUAGAUAUCAGGAGGAACACCGGCGGCGAAGGCGGCCUGCUGGACUGCGACUGACGUUGAGGCUCGAAAGCGUGGGGAGCGAACAGGAUUAGAUACCCGAGUAGUC